UACGUAGGGUGCGAGCGUUAAUCGGAAUUACUGGGCGUAAAGAGUGCGUAGGCGGUUCUUGAAGUCCGCUGUGAAAGCCCCGGGCUUAACCUGGGAAUGGCAGUGGAAACUGGGGGACUUGAAUUGAGCAGAGGGGGGUGGAAUGCCGCGUGUAGCAGUGAAAUGCGUAGAGAUGCGGCGGAACACCGAUGGCGAAGGCAGCCCCCUGGGCUUAAAUUGACGCUGAGGCACGAAAGCGUGGGGAGCAAACAGGAUUAGAUACCCUGGUAGUCCACGCCCUAAACGAUGGCAACUAGGUGUUGGGGAAGCAAUUCCUUGGUACCGCAGCUAACGCGUGAAGUUGCCCGCCUGGGGAGUACGGUCGCAAGAUUAAA
Molecule: ribosomal RNA, 374 nt
Filed under: uncultured bacterium
Lineage: Bacteria
Description: bacterial SSU rRNA
Rfam family: Bacterial small subunit ribosomal RNA
Source: RNAcentral